This is a small nuclear RNA of Marmota marmota marmota (Alpine marmot), 111 nucleotides long. The record is from Ensembl. NCBI's taxonomy places the organism in Eukaryota, Metazoa, Chordata, Mammalia, Rodentia, Sciuridae.
GUGCUCACUUUGGCAGCACAUAUACUAAAAUUGGAACAAUUUAGUAUAUGGAGAUUAGCAUGGCCCCUACUGAAAGAUGGCAUGCAAAUUCAUGAAGUGUUCCAUAUUUUU